AUUGAACGCUGGCGGCAGGCCUAACACAUGCAAGUCGAGCGGAUGAAGGGAGCUUGCUCCUGGAUUCAGCGGCGGACGGGUGAGUAAUGCCUAGGAAUCUGCCUGGUAGUGGGGGAUAACGUCCGGAAACGGGCGCUAAUACCGCAUACGUCCUGAGGGAGAAAGUGGGGGAUCUUCGGACCUCACGCUAUCAGAUGAGCCUAGGUCGGAUUAGCUAGUUGGUGGGGUAAAGGCCUACCAAGGCGACGAUCCGUAACUGGUCUGAGAGGAUGAUCAGUCACACUGGAACUGAGACACGGUCCAGACGCCUACGGGAGGCAGCAGUGGGGAAUAUUGGACAAUGGGCGAAAGCCUGAUCCAGCCAGGCCGCGUGUGUGAAGAAGGUCUUCGGAUUGUAAAGCACGUUAAGGUGGGAGGAAGGGCAGUAAGUUAAUAACUUGCUGUUUUGACGUUACCAACAGAAUAAGCACCGGCUAACUUCGUG
This 484-nucleotide ribosomal RNA is filed under the name uncultured bacterium. RNAcentral's name for it is "partial 16S ribosomal RNA". It matches the Rfam family "Bacterial small subunit ribosomal RNA", at positions 30 to 507 of the family's 1533-position model. The record is from RNAcentral.